CAGUAGCCGCGGUAAUACGUAGGGUGCAAGCGUUAAUCGGAAUUGCCGGGCGUAAAGCGUGCGCAGGCGGUUAUAUAAGUCAGAUGUGAAAUCCCCGGGCUCAACCUGGGAACUGCAUUUGAGACUGUAUGGCUAGAGUGUGUCAGAGGGGGUAGAAUUCCACGUGUAGCAGUGGAAUGCGUAGAUAUGUGGAGGAAUACCGAUGGCGAAGGCAGCCCCCUGGGAUAACACUGACGCUCAUGCACGAAAGCGUGGGGAGCAAACAGGAUUAGAUACCCCCGUAGUCCCUGUCUUUUAUACC
This 301-nucleotide ribosomal RNA is filed under the name uncultured bacterium. RNAcentral's name for it is "partial 16S ribosomal RNA". It matches the Rfam family "Bacterial small subunit ribosomal RNA", at positions 509 to 810 of the family's 1533-position model. The record is from RNAcentral.